This is an RNA transcript of Juglans regia (Persian walnut), 1149 nucleotides long. It is a transcript of the gene named ribosomal RNA small subunit methyltransferase G, with no coding region annotated. NCBI's taxonomy places the organism in Eukaryota, Viridiplantae, Streptophyta, Magnoliopsida, Fagales, Juglandaceae. The transcript is spliced from 8 exons. The record is from RefSeq and is a predicted model, not a curated record.
UUUAUUGAACGAGACCCCAACGCUAGGAGACACCGCGAAAAAAGCAUGUUGGUUUGGCGUAGCAUAGUUCCCAACAUUCAAUUUUCUCCGGGGAAUUUCUUCAAGCACCUUCCGGCUUCGACACCAACGUCUAUUUGUUGCCCGUGCAACAUCAUAAUCACUGGAACCUUAUUCACUACUCGAGCACUUAGAUCUUCCUAUUUCGAAUCCCUUGCUUCCCAUCAAAAGGAUCAGGUCCAUCUCUACGUUGACACUCUUCUCCAAUGGAACCAGAGAAUGAAUCUUACCGCCGUUACAGAGGUAAAUGAGGUUAUGGAAAGGCACAUUGAGGAUUCACUUGCAAUUAUACCCCCUAUGAGAAGUUCUUAUGCCUCCCAUUGUAACGACUCAGUCGACAGCAUCAACCUCGUUGAUGUUGGAAGCGGCGCGGGGCUUCCCGGAUUGAUUUUAGCUAUUGCUUGCCCAGAUUGGAAGGUAACCCUAUUAGAGUCUAUGAACAAGCGCUGCGUUUUCUUGGAGAAUGCCAUAGGUCUUGCUGGCUUGUCUAAUGUCCGAGUUGUGAGAGGAAGAGCGGAGAAUUUGGGGCAGGAUCUUUGCUUCAGAGAAAAAUUUGAUGUAGCAGUGGCAAGGGCGGUUGCAGAGAUGAGAAUCUUAGCUGAAUAUUGUCUUCCACUGGUUCGUGUUGGUGGUCUAUUUGUAGCUGCAAAGGGUCAUGAUCCUCAGGAGGAAGUUAAAAAUGCAGAAAGAGCAAUUCAAAUGAUGGGUUCUUCCCUGUUGCAACUUUCCUCAGGUGGAUAUUUUGCCUGUAUGAUCCAUUCCAUACAUUUUCAGUCUUCACCUCUGCGGCUAGGAUAUGAGUUCUUUGCCUGCACAUAUUUUUGGCUCUUAAUCAUGUUGUUUUUUGGUUAGUGGCUCUUUAUAAAUGCAUUCACUUGUUUUUCUCCUAUUGGCUUUUAUGGUUUUGGGGGCUCGGGUAGCGUGGAGGUUGACAUUCCUAUCCAGCUUGUGUAUCACCUUCAGGCAAAGAACAAGGCUAUUUAUUCAGGGAAGUGAAUGAAGAUGGAGUCACACAGCCCAUAUGGACAGCGAACUGCCAUUAUAUGUUUGAAAGAUCGCCCCACCCCAAGAAAGUAUCCUCGUGAUCCGGGG